CGGGAGAUGCGGCCAUGUUCGUGCUGAGUCGACUCUCUGCGCGCGAGUGUUGAGAUUAUUCCGCCUUUCCUGCUGUCUGUCACACGUGUUAAAGUCAAGGCCCGGGGGCCGGAUCCGGCCCUCCAGGAGAUCCAGCUUUCAACACUCUGGAGUUGAAAUGUGGUGGGCGGAGUGCCACAUACGAGGCGUACACAAAACAGGGUACUUUGAUUUACUGAGAUGCACCAACACAGUUCUCAUUGCACUCUGCCUGUUCUGUGGAAAGAACUACUGAGGGGAAAAAAUGUUCUAUUUUAUGUGAUCUGUAGCUGUACAACAAAAUGUUUAAAACGAAGCUGUUCAGUAUUAAAGUAAGGUCACGAUGGAACAAUACAAAUUGAAGAACUUUUGUUUGAAGUUUGGAUGUAGGUUGGGAUACAAAAUGACAGAACAUGGGGUAAAAAACAAAAAUAUAUGUUUCUCUUAAAGAGACCCAGUUAAAACAAGGCCUGAGGCUCCCUUCAAGAAGAAAAUAUUCAGACUUAGAAUCAUUGACAUAAAUGGAGACGGACAAAACAAGACUAUGAUGUCACAGAUAGAAAAUGCCUCACGUGUGUUCAAAUGAAAUUAAGGUAAUUCAGUCGCCAUUUUUACUGCUUACGUAUAUAUAUAUUUAUAUCGUAAUUACAACUUCCCUCCUAUUUUUCUAGAAUUUAUUUUUUAUUUAAAUGUAAUGUGUUUUUAUAUUUUGUCGAUCUCAGGUAUUUGAAAAUUUUUCUCUCGCUGACGGUGCUUUUUCUUCACAAUUGUUUAUGAACAGAACAUGUUUUAUGAAUAAAUACUUAAUUAAAUGUGUUUGAGCUUCAUCUAUGAUUUAAAAAUCCCCUAAUAAAAAUCAAUAGUGGCCGUCU
This is a long non-coding RNA of Oryzias melastigma (Indian medaka), 890 nucleotides long. RefSeq lists it as uncharacterized. The transcript has 3 exons. Lineage: Eukaryota; Metazoa; Chordata; Actinopteri; Beloniformes; Adrianichthyidae. The record is from RefSeq and is a predicted model, not a curated record.